CCCUUAGAUGUUCUGGGCCGCACGCGCGCUAUACUGAUGCAUUCAACGAGCCUAUCCUUGACCGACAGGUCCGGGUAAUCUUUGAAUCUGCAUCGUGACGGGGAUAGAUUAUUGCAAUUAUUAAUCUUCAACGAGGAAUGCCUAGUAGGCGCAAGUCAUCAGCUUGCGUCGAUUACGUCCCUGCCCUUUGUACACACCGCCCGUCGCUCCUACCGAUUGGGUGUGCUGGUGAAAUGUUCGGAUCGGCCGUUUGUCGCGGUUUCCGCGUCAUGUGGCUGAGAAGUUCAUUAAACCCUCCCACCUAGAGGAAGGAGAAGUCGUAACA
Molecule: ribosomal RNA, 325 nt
Filed under: uncultured eukaryote
Lineage: Eukaryota
Description: partial 18S ribosomal RNA
Rfam family: Eukaryotic small subunit ribosomal RNA
Source: RNAcentral